UCAAGUGAAUAAGUGCAUCAGGCGGAUGCCUUGGCGAUGAUAGGCGACGAAGGACGUGUAAGCCUGCGAAAAGCGCGGGGGAGCUGGCAAUAAAGCUAUGAUUCCGCGAUGUCCGAAUGGGGAAACCCACUGCAUUCUGUGCAGUAUCCUAAGUUGAAUACAUAGGCUUAGAGAAGCGAACCCGGAGAACUGAACCAUCUAAGUACCCGGAGGAAAAGAAAUCAACCGAGAUUCCGCAAGUAGUGGCGAGCGAACGCGGAGGAGCCUGUACGUAAUAACUGUCGAGAUAGAAGAACAAGCUGGGAAGCUUGACCAUAGCGGGUGACAGUCCCGUAUUCGAAAUCUCAACAGCGGUACUAAGCGUACGAAAAGUAGGGCGGGACACGUGAAAUCCUGUCUGAAUAUGGGGGGACCAUCCUCCAAGGCUAAAUACUCAUCAUCGACCGAUAGUGAACCAGUACCGUGAGGGAAAGGCGAAAAGAACCCCGGGAGGGGAGUGAAACAGAACCUGAAACCUGAUGCAUACAAACAGUGGGAGCGCCCUAGUGGUGUGACUGCGUACCUUUUGUAUAAUGGGUCAACGACUUACAUUCAGUAGCGAGCUUAACCGGAUAGGGGAGGCGUAGGGAAACCGAGUCUUAAUAGGGCGAUGAGUUGCUGGGUGUAGACCCGAAACCGAGUGAUCUAUCCAUGGUCAGGUUGAAGGUGCCGUAACAGGUACUGGAGGACCGAACCCACGCAUGUUGCAAAAUGCGGGGAUGAGCUGUGGGUAGGGGUGAAAGGCUAAACAAACUCGGAGAUAGCUGGUUCUCCCCGAAAACUAUUUAGGUAGUGCCUCGAGCAAGACACUGAUGGGGGUAAAGCACUGUUAUGGCUAGGGGGUUAUUGCAACUUACCAACCCAUGGCAAACUCAGAAUACCAUCAAGUGGUUCCUCGGGAGACAGACAGCGGGUGCUAACGUCCGUUGUCAAGAGGGAAACAACCCAGACCGCCGGCUAAGGUCCCAAAUGAUAGAUUAAGUGGUAAACGAAGUGGGAAGGCACAGACAGCCAGGAUGUUGGCUUAGAAGCAGCCAUCAUUUAAAGAAAGCGUAAUAGCUCACUGGUCGAGUCGUCCUGCGCGGAAGAUGUAACGGGGCUCAAAUCUAUAACCGAAGCUGCGGAUGCCGGUUUACCGGCAUGGUAGGGGAGCGUUCUGUAGGCUGAUGAAGGUGCAUUGUAAAGUGUGCUGGAGGUAUCAGAAGUGCGAAUGUUGACAUGAGUAGCGAUAAAGCGGGUGAAAAGCCCGCUCGCCGAAAGCCCAAGGUUUCCUACGCAACGUUCAUCGGCGUAGGGUAAGUCGGCCCCUAAGGCGAGGCAGAAAUGCGUAGUCGAUGGGAAACAGGUUAAUAUUCCUGUACUUGAUUCAAAUGCGAUGUGGGGACGGAGAAGGUUAGGUUGGCAAGCUGUUGGAAUAGCUUGUUUAAGCCGGUAGGUGGAAGACUUAGGCAAAUCCGGGUUUUCUUAACACCGAGAAGUGAUGACGAGUGUCUACGGACACGAAGCAACCGAUACCACGCUUCCAGGAAAAGCCACUAAGCUUCAGUUUGAAUCGAACCGUACCGCAAACCGACACAGGUGGGCAGGAUGAGAAUUCUAAGGCGCUUGAGAGAACUCGGGAGAAGGAACUCGGCAAAUUGAUACCGUAACUUCGGGAGAAGGUAUGCCCUCUAAGGUUAAGGACUUGCUCCGUAAGCCCCGGAGGGUCGCAGAGAAUAGGUGGCUGCGACUGUUUAUUAAAAACACAGCACUCUGCCAACACGAAAGUGGACGUAUAGGGUGUGACGCCUGCCCGGUGCCGGAAGGUUAAUUGAAGAUGUGCAAGCAUCGGAUCGAAGCCCCGGUAAACGGCGGCCGUAACUAUAACGGUCCUAAGGUAGCGAAAUUCCUUGUCGGGUAAGUUCCGACCCGCACGAAUGGCGUAACGAUGGCCACACUGUCUCCUCCCGAGACUCAGCGAAGUUGAAGUGGUUGUGAAGAUGCAAUCUACCCGCUGCUAGACGGAAAGACCCCGUGAACCUUUACUGUAGCUUUGCAUUGGACUUUGAAGUCACUUGUGUAGGAUAGGUGGGAGGCUUGGAAGCAGAGACGCCAGUCUCUGUGGAGUCGUCCUUGAAAUACCACCCUGGUGUCUUUGAGGUUCUAACCCAGACCCGUCAUCCGGGUCGGAGACCGUGCAUGGUAGGCAGUUUGACUGGGGCGGUCUCCUCCCAAAGCGUAACGGAGGAGUUCGAAGGUUACCUAGGUCCGGUCGGAAAUCGGACUGAUAGUGCAAUGGCAAAAGGUAGCUUAACUGCGAGACCGACAAGUCGGGCAGGUGCGAAAGCAGGACAUAGUGAUCCGGUGGUUCUGUAUGGAAGGGCCAUCGCUCAACGGAUAAAAGGUACUCCGGGGAUAACAGGCUGAUUCCGCCCAAGAGUUCAUAUCGACGGCGGAGUUUGGCACCUCGAUGUCGGCUCAUCACAUCCUGGGGCUGUAGUCGGUCCCAAGGGUAUGGCUGUUCGCCAUUUAAAGUGGUACGUGAGCUGGGUUUAAAACGUCGUGAGACAGUUUGGUCCCUAUCUGCAGUGGGCGUUGGAAGUUUGACGGGGGCUGCUCCUAGUACGAGAGGACCGGAGUGGACGAACCUCUGGUGUACCGGUUGUAACGCCAGUUGCAUAGCCGGGUAGCUAAGUUCGGAAGAGAUAAGCGCUGAAAGCAUCUAAGCGCGAAACUCGCCUGAAGAUGAGACUUCCCUUGCGGUUUAACCGCACUAAAGGGUCGUUCGAGACCAGGACGUUGAUAGGUGGGGUGUGGAAGCGCGGUAACGCGUGAAGCUAACCCAUACUAAUUGCCCGUGAGGCUUGACUC
RNAcentral lists this ribosomal RNA (2889 nucleotides) under Neisseria gonorrhoeae. Its description in RNAcentral is "23S ribosomal RNA". It matches the Rfam family "Bacterial large subunit ribosomal RNA". Lineage: Bacteria; Pseudomonadati; Pseudomonadota; Betaproteobacteria; Neisseriales; Neisseriaceae. The record is from RNAcentral.